RNAcentral lists this ribosomal RNA (1507 nucleotides) under Clostridioides difficile. RNAcentral's name for it is "partial 23S ribosomal RNA". It matches the Rfam family "Bacterial large subunit ribosomal RNA", at positions 1180 to 2703 of the family's 2925-position model. The record is from RNAcentral. Lineage: Bacteria; Bacillati; Bacillota; Clostridia; Peptostreptococcales; Peptostreptococcaceae.
GCUAAAACUUACUACCGAAGCUACGGCAUCAGUAAUGAUGGGUAGGGGAGCUUCCCAUACAGGUUGAAGCAUGACCGUAAGGACAUGUGGACAGUAUGGGAGUGAGAAUGUUGGCAUGAGUAGCGAGAUGUGGGUGAGAAUCCCACAGGCCGUAAACCCAAGGUUUCCAGGGGAAGGUUCGUCCGCCCUGGGUUAGUCGGGACCUAAGCUGAGGCCGAAAGGCGUAGGUGAUGGACAACAGGUUGAUAUUCCUGUACUACCGAUAACCGUUUGAGAGAAGGGAUGACACAGUAGGAUAAGUUAAGCACACUGUUGGUUAUGUGUGCCCAAGCAUUGAGGCAGUCAAAGCAGGCAAAUCCGCUUUGAUAAUGCUGGGAUGUGAUGGGGAGCGAAAUUUAGUAGCGAAGUAGCUGAUUUCACACUGUCAAGAAAAGUCUCUAUCGAGGUUAAAGGUACCCGUACCGCAAACCGACACAGGUGGGUGAGGAGAGUAUCCUAAGGCCAGCGAGAGAACUGUUGUUAAGGAACUCGGCAAAAUGACCCCGUAACUUAGGGAUAAGGGGUGCCACCAUCCGGUGGUCGCAGAGAAUAGGCCCAAGCGACUGUUUACCAAAAACAUAGGUUUCUGCUAAGUCGCAAGACGAUGUAUAGGAGCUGACGCCUGCCCGGUGCUGGAAGGUUAAGGGGAUCUGUUAGAGCAAUCGAAGCAGUGAACUUAAGCCCCAGUAAACGGCGGCCGUAACUAUAACGGUCCUAAGGUAGCGAAAUUCCUUGUCGGGUAAGUUCCGACCCGCACGAAAGGCGUAACGAUUUGGGCACUGUCUCAACAACAGACUCGGUGAAAUUGUAAUUCCGGUGAAGAUGCCGGAUACCUGCGACAGGACGGAAAGACCCCAUGGAGCUUUACUGUAGCUUGACAUUGGGUCUUGGUACUACAUGUACAGGAUAGGUGGGAGGCUUUGAAACCAGGACGCCAGUUUUGGCGGAGCCAUCCUUGGGAUACCACCCUUGUAGUACUGGGACUCUAACCAUAGGCCAUGAAUCUGGUCUUGGGACACUGUCAGGUGGGCAGUUUGACUGGGGCGGUCGCCUCCCAAAAGGUAACGGAGGCGCUCAAAGGUUCUCUCAGUACGGUCGGAAAUCGUACGUAGAGUGUAAAGGCAAAAGAGAGCUUGAUUGCAAGACAUACAGGUCGAGCAAGGAUGAAAAUCGGACUUAGUGAUCCGGUGGUUCUGCGUGGAAGGGCCAUCGCUCAACGGAUAAAAGCUACCCUGGGGAUAACAGGCUUAUCUCCCCCAAGAGUCCACAUCGACGGGGAGGUUUGGCACCUCGAUGUCGGCUCAUCACAUCCUGGGGCUGUAGUAGGUCCCAAGGGUUGGGCUGUUCGCCCAUUAAAGUGGUACGCGAGCUGGGUUCAGAACGUCGUGAGACAGUUCGGUCCCUAUCCGUCGCAGGCGUAGGAAAUUUGAGAAGACCUGUCCUUAGUACGAGAGGACCGGGAUGGACG